RNAcentral lists this long non-coding RNA (698 nucleotides) under Dromaius novaehollandiae (emu). Its description in RNAcentral is "lncRNA (ENSDNVG00000012243.1)". The record is from RNAcentral. Lineage: Eukaryota; Metazoa; Chordata; Aves; Casuariiformes; Dromaiidae.
ACACGAUGGAUGUCGAUUUUUGWCACCGGCCAGGUUGAGACCCUGCUUCGACGGGGUCUCCGUUUCCAGCUGCUGAUUCCUCCGCCCRGCCGCGUGCUCCUCCGCGGGGGGCUUUGCAGAGCCGCGAGCUGAGCCCUCGUCCUUGCAGAGCAGGAGCUGAGCAGGCAGAAACAGAGGAUUUACAAAUCUUUUUUYUGUCCUUCCUCUGCUAUCUAAACUGAAACGCAGCACUUCAUCAGCGUAUAACCCGGGCGCUGCGAGAUCCAAGAGGCAGUGAGGCAACGAGCAUCGCCGCACACAGCAUCUCCUGCGCAAUAUUUGCCAAGGGCUUGGGAGCGUUAACGAGGGAGSGGAGGGCUUUCGAAGGGCCGUCGUGCUGGAGAUCUCAGCAUCUCCGUCAGCAUCACAGCCCGUGYUUCACAGGCCAAGGAGAAGAUGAGGGAGAUGAAAUGACCGGAGCAAGGUUGCAUGGUAAGUCAGUGGUGGAAAGCAGAAGCCAAGCAUCCCAUCUGAAUCCCGUCUCUGCUUGGCAAAUACCUCCAAGCCUGAGAAGCUUCUUUAUCUCUGAGCUAUAAAUCUGUGUCAGGUGCCUGCUWUUCUUUGCAGGAAAGGCAGCACAGAGCAUCCACCGGGAAGGAACCCACGGGGCCUGCAGGGUUGCCCAGAUAUCCCAACUAUGUUAACUCUAAGCGGGUAAG